CGGCCCUGUUGGAUCGCAGAGGCCGGGAGAGCCGGCCCGAGGGACGGCAGCGCUGCGCUCCGCUCCGCCGGGACGGAGCUGCCGCCGGGGAACCGGGAUACCGGGGCUUACCGGGCCAGGGGCGGCUACGGCCUUUUCUUUUGUUUACUAAUCUCCCGCCCGGGUGGCCUGAUAGCUCUUGAGGCCGGAUCUUUGAGAUGGCAGUGACUACUGAGGAGACUCAAAACUCACUAAAGUGCUAAGAAGAAAUGACAGAGGAGUGCUCUGCACUAAGUGAAGCAUCUCUGUCACACCCUGCAGGGCUCGGGGACCCUUGUGGAAGAGGUGGCGGAGAGAAGACAAGAGCCAAAGGACGGGGGGAGUGCUUACAGUCCUGUCUAUCAGACACAAGUGGCUGUGAUAAUCAUGAUCUUCAGCUGCAAAUAUACCUACACCAGACCUGGAUACUGAAGGCAAAAAUGAUGACUUUAAAGUAGAAGAGAGAUUAAUUGGAAAGAAGAAGGGGUUCAGUGGAGGGAGUAUUUGGAUCAGGUUAAGGGAGACUUGUGGGAGAGGAUUAUUAUCAUGGUAUAUUGUCUAUAUGUACAGAGGUUGUUAAUAAAACAUUCUUUAGAA
Molecule: long non-coding RNA, 615 nt
Organism: Jaculus jaculus (lesser Egyptian jerboa)
Lineage: Eukaryota; Metazoa; Chordata; Mammalia; Rodentia; Dipodidae
Exons: 2
Source: RefSeq, a predicted model, not a curated record